This 652-nucleotide long non-coding RNA is filed under the name Ananas comosus (pineapple). Its description in RNAcentral is "long non-coding RNA (ACOM_LNC007425)". Lineage: Eukaryota; Viridiplantae; Streptophyta; Magnoliopsida; Poales; Bromeliaceae. The record is from RNAcentral.
UCAUAGAGAUGGUAAAUAAUGUUAAAUAUCUAUACUCUUAUAUGAAUCCCCAAUAUCAAUGAUGAUGUGGCAAGCUCUCAUUUUUUUAUUUUUUUAAUUUUAAUUUUUUCUUCCUCAUCUUCUUUAACGUCUAACUCUUUACCUUCCAAUAACACCACCUUCUCUCUUUUUAUUAUUAUUGUAAUUAAUUCAAAAUUAAUUUUUUCUUCCAAAAGUUCUAAAUCUUCUUCUCUUCUUUAACGUUCACUUCUUUACCUUCCAAUAACCCCACUUUUCUCUCUUUAUUAUUGUAUUUAAUUAAUAAUUAAUUUUUUCUUCCCCCCAUGUCUCCAUUAAUGUCUUCGUUCUUCAACUUUUGCUAAAUCUCUUUCAUCCUCUCCCUCUCCCGUAAAAGUCGCUCGCUUUCAUUACUGUCGCAUCGCAUCAAGUUCAUAGAAUCCGCAGAUCCCGUCGUGUAUUUGGUCGGGAUGGCAGUGGUGGUAGAAGAUGAAGAUAUUGGAUGCGGCGGCGGCGGUAGCGACGAUAGAAAUGGAAGAGAGUGUAUGGAUAUAUAAUCAACUUACUAUUGAUAGUAUAUAUAUAUAUAUAUGGUGAUAAUCAAGUAAUCAGGAAUUUUUUGUAUUUUACUUUUUUUUUAAUGUUUUUUUUUUAA